CGGACGGGUGAGUAACGCGUGGGUAACCUGCCUCAUACAGGGGGAUAACAGUUAGAAAUGACUGCUAAUACCGCAUAAGACCACAGCACCGCAUGGUGCAGGGGCAAAAACUCCGGUGGUAUGAGAUGGACCCGCGUCUGAUUAGGUAGUUGGUGGGGUAACGGCCUACCAAGCCGACGAUCAGUAGCCGACCUGAGAGGGUGACCGGCCACAUUGGGACUGAGACACGGCCCAA
This 235-nucleotide ribosomal RNA is filed under the name uncultured bacterium. RNAcentral's name for it is "partial 16S ribosomal RNA". It matches the Rfam family "Bacterial small subunit ribosomal RNA", at positions 99 to 334 of the family's 1533-position model. The record is from RNAcentral.